GACCUGGAGGCAAAAAAGGACCUGGAGGCAAAAAAGGACCUGGAGGCAAAAAAGGACCUGGAGGCAAAAAGGAUUUGGAGGCAAAAAAGGAUUCUGGAGGCAAAAGAGGACCUGAAGGCAAAAAUUACCUGGAGGCAAAAAAGGACCUGGGGACAAAAGGAUUCUGGAGGCAAUAAAAGGACAUAGAGACAAAAAGGCCUGGAGGCAAAAAGGAUUUGGAGGCAAAACAAGGACCUGGAGGCAAAAAUAGGAUUCUGAAGGUAAAAAGGAGGCAAAGAGGGCUUGAGAGGCACAAAGGAGCUGGAGCCCUUGCUGGCCUCUCUCCCACCUGGAUUCGCGGCUGCCCCGUGGAAUUGCUGCGGUUCCCCAAAACGGAGGGGGAAAAGCUCCUCCUUCCCUGCCCGCGGAUGAAUUCUCAGCCCUGCAGCUCCGGGCUGGGCCAGAGGAUCCCCCCAGCCCUGCCCCGAUCCCAGAAAUCACGGACACCCCGACGGGCCCCGCCAGGCCGGGUUUAUUCCCUCCCCAAAUCUGGAUGGAGCCACCCAAACCCCAAAUUGGGCUGUGGGGGGCCAGGCUGGGAGCACCCACCCCAGCGGGGCACGAACAGGAACCUGCAGCGCGGCUUUUGCUCCCUUUUUUAUAGAUUUCUGCGCGGAUGUAGAGAAAAUAGAGAGAACGUGGGGCGCCCCCAGCAGAGCCACGGCCGGCUGCAAACAGCUCUGAGGUGGGGAAUCAAAAGGGCCCCGUCCGGAUUGUCCCGGGCUGUCCCCUGCCUGUCCCGGGCUGUCCCCCUGCUGUCCCCCGGCUGUCCCCUCCUUGUCCCGGGCUGUCCCCUGCCUGUCCCGGGCUGUCCCGUGGCUGUCCCGGGCUGUCCCCUGCCUGUCCCGGNCUGUCCCGGGCUGUCCCCUGCCUGUCCCGGCCUGUCCCCUGCCUGUCCCGGCCUGUCCCCUGCCUGUCCCGGGCUGUCCCCUGCCUGUCCCGGGCUGUCCCCUCCUUGUCCCGGGCUGUCCCCUGCCUGUCCCCUGCCUGUCCCGGGCUGUCCCGUGGCUGUCCCGGGCUGUCCCCUGCCUGUCCCGGGCUGUCCCCUCCCUGUCCCGGGCUGUCCCCUGCCUGUCCCCCGGCUGUCCCCUCCCUGUCCCGGGCUGUCCCCUGCCUGUCCCGGGCUGUCCCCUGGCUGUCUCUGCCUGUCCCCCGGCUGUCCCCUCGCUGUCCCCCGGGCUAUCCCCGGACUGUCCCCUUGCUUUUUCCCGGCUGUCCCCCUGUUGUCCCCUCGCUGUCCCUGGGGCUGUCCCUGGCUGUCCCCCCGUUGUCCCGGGCUGUCCCCGUUGUCCCCCCGUUGUCCCGGGCUGUCCCCCCGCU
This 1359-nucleotide long non-coding RNA is filed under the name Lonchura striata (white-rumped munia). Its description in RNAcentral is "domestica (Bengalese finch) lncRNA (ENSLSDG00000004089.1)". The record is from RNAcentral. Lineage: Eukaryota; Metazoa; Chordata; Aves; Passeriformes; Estrildidae.